Molecule: ribosomal RNA, 381 nt
Filed under: uncultured bacterium
Lineage: Bacteria
Description: bacterial SSU rRNA
Rfam family: Bacterial small subunit ribosomal RNA
Source: RNAcentral
GGACGAACGCUGGCGGCGUGCUUAACACAUGCAAGUCGAGCGGUAAGGCCCUUUCGGGGGUACACGAGCGGCGAACGGGUGAGUAACACGUGGGUGACCUGCCCUCAGCUCUGGGAUAAGCCUGGGAAACCGGGUCUAAUACCGGAUAUGACUCCAUGACGCAUGUUGUGGGGUGGAAAGCCUUGUGCGGCUGAGGAUGGGCCCGCGGCCUAUCAGCUUGUUGGUGGGGUGANGGCCUGCCAAGGCGACGACGGGUAGCCGGCCUGAGAGGGCGACCGGCCACACUGGGACUGAGACACGGCCCAGACUCCUACGGGAGGCAGCAGUGGGGAAUCUUGCGCAAUGGGCGAAAGCCUGACGCAGCGACGCCGCGUGAGGGAU